GAUGAAGAACGCAGCGAAAUGCGAUAAGUAAUGUGAAUUGCAGAAUUCCGUGAAUCAUCGAAUCUUUGAACGCACAUUGCGCCCCCUGGCAUUCCGGGGGGCAUGCCUGUCCGAGCGUCAUUUCUGCCCUCCAGCCCGGCUGGGUGUUGGGCGCUGUCCCCCCGGGGACACGCUCCAAAGGCAGUGGCGGCGCCGCGUCGGGUCCUCGAGCGUAUGGGGCUUUGUCACCCGCUCGGGACGGACUCGUCGGCGCUGGUCUUCCUCCAGGCGACCCUUCGGGGCUCGUCUUCCUUCGGUUGACCUCGGAUCAGGUAGGGUUACCCGCUGAACUUAAGCAUAUCAAUAAGCGGAGGA
RNAcentral lists this unclassified non-coding RNA (354 nucleotides) under soil metagenome. Its description in RNAcentral is "partial contains 5.8S ribosomal RNA, internal transcribed spacer 2, and large subunit ribosomal RNA". The stretch from base 1 to 120 matches the Rfam family "5.8S ribosomal RNA", at positions 35 to 154 of the family's 154-position model. The record is from RNAcentral.